GGAGGGCUGGCCGAGUGGUAAGGCACCGGAUUGCUAAUCCGUGGUCCAGCGAUGUCUGGCGCGCGUUCGAUCCGCGCGCCCUCCG
RNAcentral lists this transfer RNA (85 nucleotides) under Lentzea pudingi. Its description in RNAcentral is "tRNA-Ser". It matches the Rfam family "tRNA". Rfam says of the family: Transfer RNA (tRNA) molecules are approximately 80 nucleotides in length. Their secondary structure includes four short double-helical elements and three loops (D, anti-codon, and T loops). Further hydrogen bonds mediate the characteristic L-shaped molecular structure. tRNAs have two regions of fundamental functional importance: the anti-codon, which is responsible for specific mRNA codon recognition, and the 3' end, to which the tRNAs corresponding amino acid is attached (by aminoacyl-tRNA synthetases). tRNAs cope with the degeneracy of the genetic code in two manners: having more than one tRNA (with a specific anti-codon) for a particular amino acid; and 'wobble' base-pairing, i.e. permitting non-standard base-pairing at the 3rd anti-codon position. Lineage: Bacteria; Bacillati; Actinomycetota; Actinomycetes; Pseudonocardiales; Pseudonocardiaceae. The record is from RNAcentral.